GAUGAACGCUGGCGGCGUGCCUAAUACAUGCAAGUCGAGCGAACAGAUGAGGAGCUUGCUCCUCUGACGUUAGCGGCGGACGGGUGAGUAACACGUGGAUAACCUACCUAUAAGACUGGGAUAACUUCGGGAAACCGGAGCUAAUACCGGAUAAUAUAUUGAACCGCAUGGUUCAAUAGUGAAAGACGGUUUUGCUGGCAGGUAUAGAUGGAUCCGCGCCGCAUUAGCUAGUUGGUAAGGUAACGGCUUACCAAGGCAACGAUGCGUAGCCGACCUGAGAGGGUGAUCGGCCACAUUGGAAGUGAGACGCGGUCCAGACUCCUGCGGGAGGCAGCAGAAGGGAAUGUUCCGCAGUGGGCGGAAGCCUGACGGAGUAACGCCGCGUGAGUUGUGAAGGUCUUCGGAUCGUAAAACUCUGUUAUUAGGGAAGAACAAAUGUGUAAGUAACUAUGCACGUCUUGACGGUACCUAAUCAGAAAGCCACGGCUAACUACGUG
Molecule: ribosomal RNA, 497 nt
Filed under: uncultured bacterium
Lineage: Bacteria
Description: partial 16S ribosomal RNA
Rfam family: Bacterial small subunit ribosomal RNA
Source: RNAcentral